AACGAACGCUGGCGGCAUGCCUAACACAUGCAAGUCGAACGAGACCUCCGGGCCUAGUGGCGCACGGGGGCGUAACGCGUGGGAACCUGCCCUUGGGUUCGGAAUAACUCCCCGAAAGGGGUCCUAAUACCGGUUAAGGUCUUCGGACCAAAGAUUUAUCGCCUUUGGAUGGGCCCGCGUUGGAUUAGCUAGUUGGUAGGGUAAAAGCCUACCAAGGCGACGAUCCAUAGCUGGUCUGAGAGGAUGAUCAGCCACACUGGGACUGAGACACGGCCCAGACUCCUACGGGAGGCAGCAGUGGGGAAUAUUGGACAAUGGGCGAAAGCCUGAUACAGCAAUGCCGCGUGAGUGAUGAAGGCCUUAGGGUUGUAAAGCUCUUUUACCCGGGAUGAUAAUGACAGUACCGGGAGAAUAAGCACCGGCUAACUCCGUG
RNAcentral lists this ribosomal RNA (433 nucleotides) under uncultured bacterium. Its description in RNAcentral is "partial 16S ribosomal RNA". It matches the Rfam family "Bacterial small subunit ribosomal RNA", at positions 29 to 507 of the family's 1533-position model. The record is from RNAcentral.